AUACGUAGGGAGCAAGCGUUAUCCGGAUUUACUGGGUGUAAAGGGCGCGUAGGCGGGAGUGCAAGUCAGAUGUGAAAUCUGGGGGCUCAACCCCCAAACUGCAUUUGAAACUGUACUUCUUGAGUGAUGGAGAGGCAAGCGGAAUUCCUAGUGUAGCGGUGAAAUGCGUAGAUAUUAGGAGGAACACCAGUGGCGAAGGCGGCUUGCUGGACAUUAACUGACGCUGAGGCGCGAAAGCGUGGGGAGCAAACAGGAUUAGAUACCCUGGUAGUCCACGCUGUAAACGAUGAAUACUAGGUGUGGGAGGACUGACCCCUUCCGUGCCGGAGUUAACACAAUAAGUAUUCCACCUGGGGAGUACGAUCGCAAGAUUGAA
RNAcentral lists this ribosomal RNA (376 nucleotides) under uncultured bacterium. RNAcentral describes it as "bacterial SSU rRNA". It matches the Rfam family "Bacterial small subunit ribosomal RNA", at positions 523 to 898 of the family's 1533-position model. The record is from RNAcentral.